Molecule: transfer RNA, 75 nt
Rfam family: tRNA
About the family: Transfer RNA (tRNA) molecules are approximately 80 nucleotides in length.
GCUGCCGUAGCUCAGUGGUAGAGCGCGAUCUUGGUAAGAUCGAGGCCGUGAGUUCAAUCCUCACCGGCAGCUCCA